CCCCACAGAUCACCCUCCCCGUCCCUCUUGCAAGCAUGAGCGGUGGGCCAGAACCCUAGGUGACAGAGAGCAGAGGGAAGGCCUUCGGGCCUGGACAAAACAGAACAGGAAGGUCCAGGACACCAGUCCUGCAGGGUCCGAGAGACCAAUGGCCCUUGCCCAGUACCCUUCCCUGUGCCUGCGUGCGGUCCCCACUGGUCCUGAGCAGUAUCUGCCUUAGCCCAGCCAUAUGUGAGGGAGGUGGGAGAUUGCCCGACCUUUACCAUCAGGGGCACCCACCUGGGCCCACAUGCACAGCUGAGCAGCCUCCCCUGUCCUCCCCAGUGACCUGACAGUGAAGUUCUGGAGCAUGCGGCGGCUACCAGCAGCCCACCCCUGAAGUUAGGACUGAAGGUGGCCAGACCCUCAGACCCAGCAUGGAGAGGAAGCUUGGGGCCGACCUUACCAGACCAGCCAGCCAGGUUCACCGAGGACAGAGGGUGUGGCCCUUCUCUUGCUCUGCUUCCCCCACCACCCCCUCUGCCCCUCCCCUGCCUCCCGAGAAAGUGGAGGCCGAGGAGGGAGACAAGCUGUGAAGCCAAAGGGCAUGAUUCAUUCCCCCUGACACCCCGCCUGUCCCCUGCCUUUUCCUCAGCUGGCCACAUUGUCUCCUGCUGAGCCAGCCCUGCCCCUCUCCCAGGCCCUCAGCCUAGGGUAAGACUGAAGGAGAAGCAGGGAGAAGCCCCGUCUAUCUGCCAGUAAGCUAGCCCCUUCUGGGUCUCCAAGCCCCACCCCCGGAGCCACUGCACCUGCCUCUGAGCCCACCCAGGUAGUUCUCAGGUAACCAUGGAGACCAGAUGUAAGCAGCGGAGUCCUGCAGCUGACCCGAAACCCUACAGCCACCCACAGCCAAUCCCGGUGGGGCCCAGUCCUUCCUCGAGGUUCCCUUCGGCUGGGACCUCCGUGGAGCUGCUUAAACAGUUCCUUUGGGGAGAAGGUCAGCAAUACUGCAGUCAUUUAAUGUAUUGAUUUUUUAUUUUUAUGUUUUGCUGUUGCCUCCUGGAAACUGACUUGAAGUUUCUUCCCAUUCGUCCCUCCGCUCCUGGCGGGGGGUCUUCUCUCUGGCGCUCCAGGGCCCUCCCUCUGAUGACUCUCAGAUGAGGGAAAGUCCUCUCCACUGACCAUUGUUCCAACCCUGCCCAUCCCGGCAUACCUUCUAGGAUAGACCAGGUCUCUAGGCCGCCUGAUGCCACAGUGCCUUUCUCCAUCCUGAGGCCUGGCAUCACGCUGGGCAGCCUUAUGCUAGCCAUGCCCGCAGUCCACAUGUGUCUUCUCCUCCAGGGCCUUGUGCCCACAGCCCCUGGUCAUAGCGUCCACCCCAACAGCCCAGGACCAGGGAGCCCACGCUCCCAAGAGUCCUGGGAUGUCGCUUGGUGGACCUCCACUAUGUAGGUGUGGGUAGUAAGGAUACCACAUCCUUUGCCUAACCCCCAGCCAAUUAUGUCGUCCUCU
Molecule: long non-coding RNA, 1491 nt
Filed under: Rattus norvegicus (Norway rat)
Lineage: Eukaryota; Metazoa; Chordata; Mammalia; Rodentia; Muridae
Description: long non-coding RNA NONRATT008263
Source: RNAcentral